CAAACGACUCUCGGCAACGGAUAUCUCGGCUCACGCAUCGAUGAAGAACGUAGCAAAAUGCGAUACUUGGUGUGAAUUGCAGAAUCCCGUGAACCAUCGAGUUUUUGAACGCAAGUUGCGCCCGAAGCCUUUUGGCCAAGGGCACGUCUGCCUGGGUGUCACAC
RNAcentral lists this ribosomal RNA (164 nucleotides) under Bethencourtia rupicola. Its description in RNAcentral is "5.8S ribosomal RNA". It matches the Rfam family "5.8S ribosomal RNA". Rfam says of the family: 5.8S ribosomal RNA (5.8S rRNA) is a component of the large subunit of the eukaryotic ribosome. It is transcribed by RNA polymerase I as part of the 45S precursor that also contains 18S and 28S rRNA. The record is from RNAcentral. Lineage: Eukaryota; Viridiplantae; Streptophyta; Magnoliopsida; Asterales; Asteraceae.